RNAcentral lists this long non-coding RNA (494 nucleotides) under Pan troglodytes (chimpanzee). Its description in RNAcentral is "long non-coding RNA NONPTRT018013". Lineage: Eukaryota; Metazoa; Chordata; Mammalia; Primates; Hominidae. The record is from RNAcentral.
GUUGGGCCAGACGCGGUGGCUCACCCGUGUAAUCCCAGCACUUUGGGAGGCCAACGCGGGCGGAUUACGAGGUCAGGAGUUCAAGACUAUAGGGUCCAGCCCUACUGUGCCUGUGUGUUUUUCUCUUCAUGUGCAGAGAUGAGAGAUCGUAGAAAUAAAGACACAAGACAAAGAGAUGGAAGAAAAGACAGCUGGGCCCAGGGGACCACUACCACCAAGGCAUGGAGACCGGUAGUGGCCCCGAAUGCCUGGCUGCACUGUUAUUUAUUCGAUACAAGGCAAGGAGGCAGAAGGCACAGCCAGGUGUACAGGGCGGAACACGAAAGUGGACCAGGAGCGUGACCGCUGAAGCACAGCAUCACAGGGAGACGUUUAGGCCUCCGGAUGGCUGCGGGCGGGCUUGACUGAUGUCAGGCCUUCCACAAGAGGUGGUGGAGCAGAGUCUUCUCUAACUCCCCUGGGGAAACUGAGACUCCCUUUCCCGGUCUGCUAAG